UUGAAAUAAACCUGAUGGGCUGUUGUUGGUUCUCUAGGGAACAUGUGCACGCCUUGUCAUCUUUAUAUCUCCACCUGUGCACUUUUUGUAGACCUUUCCAGGUCUAUGUUUGCUUCAUUUUACCCCAACUGUAUGUCAUUAGAAUGUUGUGCCUAUGUAACAUAUA
RNAcentral lists this unclassified non-coding RNA (166 nucleotides) under uncultured Cortinarius. Its description in RNAcentral is "sequence contains ITS1". Lineage: Eukaryota; Fungi; Basidiomycota; Agaricomycetes; Agaricales; Cortinariaceae. The record is from RNAcentral.